AUGGAAACUCGGAACCGCCGGGCGGCGCGUUCCUUCUCGCCCAGCCUUGCAAUCCAUGCCGAGAGGAAGGCAGUGCGAGCCCGCGCCAGCGCCCAGCUCCCGGGACAGGGUCGGCAAUGCUGCUGAGCAGAACUUGAUCGCGCCCCUUCCUCGCUGCUAGUGGAAGCGAUGCUGCACGGCACAGCUAGCGCUUCCCCGGCUCUCCUUCAAGCUGAAGGUUACCGACCCGCGCAGCCAGCCCCAGCACUGUGAGCUGCGCGCCUCAGGUCCGGGCUCCGGCUGCUUGGCGGCGGCGCCCAGGGCAACAACCGGGCCACCCGCGCCGGGGCGCACUGCACCAGCGGCUUCGGCUUGGUGGAUGUGUAUGCAUGAGUUCUGCACCGAAUGGGCGCAAAAAGCGCCCCAGCCGGUCCACCCGCUCCUCGAUCUUCCAGAUCAGCAAGCCCCCGCUGCAGAGCGGAGAUUGGGAGCGCAGGGGCAGCGGCUCCGAGAGCGCCCACAAAACCCAACGAGCCCUGGACGACUGCAAGAUGCCCGGAAGAUGGUGAGAUCCAUCCAGAAAUCUGUCGGCUUUACAUCCAGCUGCAGUGCUGCUUAGAAAUGUAUACCACAGAGAUGCUAAAAUCCAUAUGUCUGCUGGGGUCUCUUCAGUUUCAUCGAAAAG
RNAcentral lists this small RNA (664 nucleotides) under Pan troglodytes (chimpanzee). RNAcentral describes it as "processed transcript". The record is from RNAcentral. Lineage: Eukaryota; Metazoa; Chordata; Mammalia; Primates; Hominidae.